CCCCUAAAUAGGGACUGGAAUGAACGGCUACAUGAAGACUUUACUGUCUCUUGCUGCUAGUCAAUGAAACUGAUCUCCCAGUACAAAAGCUGGAAUAACCUCAUAAGACAAAAAGACCCUGUGGAGCUUUUAAACCAAGUACACCAAAAUGUUCUAUCACGGUUUUUAGUUGGGGCGACUUCGGAAUAAAAUAAAACUUCCGAAACCAUGGAAUCAUGCCCAUAUUUAAGGCCAACACGCCAAGAUUAGUCACCUACUUGACCCAGUUUAUCACACACUGAUCAAUGAACCAAGUUACCCCAGGGAUAACAGCGCCAUCUUCUUUUAGAGUCCAUAUCGACAAGAAGGUUUACGACCUCGAUGUUGGAUCAGGACACCCAAAUAGUGCAGCCGCUAUUAAAGGUUCG
This 407-nucleotide ribosomal RNA is filed under the name Psammodromus algirus. RNAcentral's name for it is "partial 16S ribosomal RNA". It matches the Rfam family "Bacterial large subunit ribosomal RNA", at positions 1973 to 2575 of the family's 2925-position model. The record is from RNAcentral. Lineage: Eukaryota; Metazoa; Chordata; Lepidosauria; Squamata; Lacertidae.